RNAcentral lists this ribosomal RNA (253 nucleotides) under uncultured bacterium. Its description in RNAcentral is "partial 16S ribosomal RNA". It matches the Rfam family "Bacterial small subunit ribosomal RNA", at positions 524 to 776 of the family's 1533-position model. The record is from RNAcentral.
UACGAAGGGGGCUAGCGUUGUUCGGAAUUACUGGGCGUAAAGGGCGCGUAGGCGGUUGCUCAAGUCAGGCGUGAAAGCCCCGGGCUCAACCUGGGAAUUGCGCUUGAGACUGGGCGGCUUGAGUUCGGGAGAGGUGAGUGGAAUUCCCAGUGUAGAGGUGAAAUUCGUAGAUAUUGGGAAGAACACCGGUGGCGAAGGCGGCUCACUGGACCGACACUGACGCUGAGGCGCGAAAGCGUGGGGAGCAAACAGG